RNAcentral lists this ribosomal RNA (253 nucleotides) under uncultured bacterium. RNAcentral's name for it is "partial 16S ribosomal RNA". It matches the Rfam family "Bacterial small subunit ribosomal RNA", at positions 524 to 776 of the family's 1533-position model. The record is from RNAcentral.
UACGUAGGGUGCAAGCGUUGUCAGGAAUUAUUGGGCGUAAAGAGCUCGUAGGCGGUCUGUCGCGUCGAAUGUGAAAACCCGGGGCUCAACUCCGGGCUUGCAUUCGAUACGGGCAGACUAGAGUUCGGUAGGGGAGACUGGAAUUCCUGGUGUAGCGGUGAAAUGCGCAGAUAUCAGGAGGAACACCGGUGGCGAAGGCGGGUCUCUGGGCCGAUACUGACGCUGAGGAGCGAAAGCGUGGGGAGCAAACAGG